GAAGUUUUGCUCUUNAGCGCCUGCUUUGCACGCAGGAGGUCUGCGGUUCGAUCCCGCAUAGCUCCACCA
This 69-nucleotide transfer RNA is filed under the name Escherichia coli. Its description in RNAcentral is "tRNA-Ala". It matches the Rfam family "tRNA", at positions 13 to 71 of the family's 71-position model. Rfam says of the family: Transfer RNA (tRNA) molecules are approximately 80 nucleotides in length. Their secondary structure includes four short double-helical elements and three loops (D, anti-codon, and T loops). Further hydrogen bonds mediate the characteristic L-shaped molecular structure. tRNAs have two regions of fundamental functional importance: the anti-codon, which is responsible for specific mRNA codon recognition, and the 3' end, to which the tRNAs corresponding amino acid is attached (by aminoacyl-tRNA synthetases). tRNAs cope with the degeneracy of the genetic code in two manners: having more than one tRNA (with a specific anti-codon) for a particular amino acid; and 'wobble' base-pairing, i.e. permitting non-standard base-pairing at the 3rd anti-codon position. The record is from RNAcentral. Lineage: Bacteria; Pseudomonadati; Pseudomonadota; Gammaproteobacteria; Enterobacterales; Enterobacteriaceae.